RNAcentral lists this signal recognition particle RNA (300 nucleotides) under Gorilla gorilla gorilla (western lowland gorilla). Its description in RNAcentral is "Metazoan signal recognition particle RNA (ENSGGOG00000041145.1)". It matches the Rfam family "Metazoan signal recognition particle RNA". From Rfam's summary of the family: The signal recognition particle (SRP) is a universally conserved ribonucleoprotein. It is involved in the co-translational targeting of proteins to membranes. Lineage: Eukaryota; Metazoa; Chordata; Mammalia; Primates; Hominidae. The record is from Rfam by way of RNAcentral.
GCUAGGUGUGGUGGCACGCACCUGUAGUCCCACCUACUGUGGAGGCUGAGGCAGGAGGAUCACUUGAGCCUAGGUGUUCUGGGCUGCAGUGAGCUGUGACCAUCAGGUGUUUGCACUAAAUUUAGCAUCAAUACAGUGAUCUCCCAGGAGCAGGGAACCACCAGGUUGCCUAAGGAGAGGUGAACCAACCCAGGUCAGAAAUGGAGCAGGUCAAAGUUCCAGGGCUGAUCAAUAGCGGGAUGGCGGCUGUGGAUAACCACUGCACUUCAGCCUGGGCAACAUAGUGAGACCCUCUUUUGU